Long non-coding RNA from Gadus morhua (Atlantic cod), 350 nucleotides. RefSeq lists it as uncharacterized. The record is from RefSeq and is a predicted model, not a curated record. NCBI's taxonomy places the organism in Eukaryota, Metazoa, Chordata, Actinopteri, Gadiformes, Gadidae. The transcript has 4 exons.
CAGGCUAGCGACGCUCCGAAUGCGGAAUGGAUUUAAACUGUAGAACAACACACACGUUUUCGGCAUUCCUGAAAACGACUCUGUAAGAUGUCUACUAAGAAGCAUCGAGCCAUGGGGUCUGAGGAGUGGGUGAGCCGCCUGAAGGUAUUUGCCUCUUCUGGCACUUGGCCCUCCAGUGCAGGGAACAGGCCAUCUCCGAAACAGGCCAAGUGGCCCAACCUCUACCAGAAGAUUGAGUAGUGUCCCACGAUGCUGCGUGGGCAGACCUCUAUCUUAAGGGUAGCGCAGACAUGUACCUGUGGCUUUCACCCCCAGCAGCCCUGCAGCUACCUCUGCCUCCACCUCUGCUA